This 492-nucleotide ribosomal RNA is filed under the name uncultured bacterium. Its description in RNAcentral is "partial 16S ribosomal RNA". It matches the Rfam family "Bacterial small subunit ribosomal RNA", at positions 28 to 507 of the family's 1533-position model. The record is from RNAcentral.
GAUGAACGCUAGCUACAGGCUUAACACAUGCAAGUCGAGGGGAAACGGCAUCGAAAGCUUGCUUUUGAUGGGCGUCGACCGGCGCACGGGUGAGUAACGCGUAUCCAACCUGCCCAUCACUUGGGAAUAACCUUGCGAAAGUAAGACUAAUGCCCAAUGACAUCCCACGAAGGCAUCCGAAUGGGAUUAAAGAUUUAUCGGUGAUGGAUGGGGAUGCGUCUGAUUAGCUUGUUGGCGGGGUGACGGCCCACCAAGGCAACGAUCAGUAGGGGUUCUGAGAGGGAGGUCCCCCACAUUGGAACUGAGACACGGUCCAAACUCCUACGGGAGGCAGCAGUGAGGAAUAUUGGUCAAUGGGCGAGAGCCUGAACCAGCCAAGUAGCGUGCAGGAUGACGGCCCUAUGGGUUGUAAACUGCUUUUAUAAGGGAAUAAAGUGGGUCACGUGUGACUUUUUGCAUGUACCUUAUGAAUAAGGACCGGCUAAUUCCGUG